RNAcentral lists this microRNA precursor (121 nucleotides) under Picea abies (Norway spruce). RNAcentral's name for it is "miR11572 stem-loop (pab-MIR11572)". The record is from miRBase by way of RNAcentral. Lineage: Eukaryota; Viridiplantae; Streptophyta; Pinopsida; Pinales; Pinaceae.
CUUGUUGGGUUCAGCGGCGAUGGUGCUACAAGUCGAGUUUUAUCAGAUAACUUGCAUGCAUUUGAAACCGAGUUAAAGAUAUAAACUUGGCUUGUCGCACCAUAGCCUAGGAAUCAUCAAG